RNAcentral lists this ribosomal RNA (620 nucleotides) under uncultured Bacteroidales bacterium. RNAcentral's name for it is "bacterial SSU rRNA". It matches the Rfam family "Bacterial small subunit ribosomal RNA", at positions 86 to 705 of the family's 1533-position model. Lineage: Bacteria; Pseudomonadati; Bacteroidota; Bacteroidia; Bacteroidales. The record is from RNAcentral.
UGGUGGCGACCGGCGCACGGGUGCGUAACGCGUAUGCAACCUACCUUUAACAGGGGGAUAACACUGAGAAAUUGGUACUAAUACCCCAUAAUAUCAUAGAAGGCAUCUUUUAUGGUUGAAAAUUCCGAUGGUUAGAGAUGGGCAUGCGUUGUAUUAGCUAGUUGGUGGGGUAACGGCUCACCAAGGCGACGAUACAUAGGGGGACUGAGAGGUUAACCCCCCACACUGGUACUGAGACACGGACCAGACUCCUACGGGAGGCAGCAGUGAGGAAUAUUGGUCAAUGGACGCAAGUCUGAACCAGCCAUGCCGCGUGCAGGAUGACGGCUCUAUGAGUUGUAAACUGCUUUUGUACGAGGGUAAACGCAGAUACGUGUAUCUGUCUGAAAGUAUCGUACGAAUAAGGAUCGGCUAACUCCGUGCCAGCAGCCGCGGUAAUACGGAGGAUUCAAGCGUUAUCCGGAUUUAUUGGGUUUAAAGGGUGCGUAGGCGGUUUGAUAAGUUAGAGGUGAAAUUUCGGGGCUCAACCCUGAACGUGCCUCUAAUACUGUUGAGCUAGAGAGUAGUUGCGGUAGGCGGAAUGUAUGGUGUAGCGGUGAAAUGCUUAGAGAUCAUACAGA